AGACUUAACUCUAAAACAUUCUAUUUCUUUUGUGAGGUCAUCUAUCAGGUUCUUUUCUGUAGAAGUUUUUCUGUUUUAUAUACACCAUCAAAAAAUGCCUGCAGAAAUGAAUUCAACAGAUCUUGGCUGCCUACCAUACCAAGCACCAGUGGGUAAUGAUGGGGAACAACUUUUGGUCCAAAGGAUUGGAGAGUCUGGUCCCUGGUUCCUAUGCAUGUGGGUCCUACCCAGUGCUUGAAGCCCUCUUUUACUUCAUGAACAUGAAUUGAUGCCUUGAACAAAAGAGGACUCCAUAACGGGAUUUCACUGAAUUAACAAUUCACCUUUUGCUUUUCCAAAUGAUGAAUGUUUUUACACAGGGCAAGCUUCUGGCCAGAGGGCCUUUUCCCCUAAAAACUUAUUACAGAACAAAAUUCUAGUGAUCUCAAGCUCUGAAUGGAGACACAAGAAGUACCAUCAGGCAGAAUACAUUUCUCUUAGUAGGGAUUUGGAGAAAUGUGAAGGUAAACAGCGGAAAGCUACAGCCGAAAGCUUCAACUGGCAGCCCAUACAAAGAUACUGUCUACACGUGAUCUCAAAUAUUUUUUCAGUUGACUGAGAAAACUGAGACUAAGAAUCUCCAUGCAUAUCAGUGAAGGAGACUUUUAAAACAUUCUGAGGAUAUUUUUCUUCAAAGUAGCUUUGGGAAAUGUUCUUAAGUCACCAUUAAUGCAGCAGCAGGCAUAUAGUCACUUAAGACAUCCCAAGAAUUUACCCUUUGCAGAGCAAGUGAACCAGUUUCUGAGGACUGUUAGCUUUGGAUUGGAAGCAAGACUUCAAUUCUGAUCAGUUUUCUUGUAAAGUUUCCAAAGUUGACUAAAUGCUAGUUUGACUACAUACCUGAAGAAGAUAGAUCUGAUUGCAAACCAAACUCUCACCAUUAAUAAAGAAAUAAAG
Mesocricetus auratus (golden hamster) is the source of this 936-nucleotide long non-coding RNA. RefSeq lists it as uncharacterized. The record is from RefSeq and is a predicted model, not a curated record. NCBI's taxonomy places the organism in Eukaryota, Metazoa, Chordata, Mammalia, Rodentia, Cricetidae. The transcript has 3 exons.